UCCCUUUGGUAGGACAUGCACUAAAAUUGGAAUGAUAUCGAGAAUAUUAUCAUGGCCCCUGCACAAGAAUGAAAGGCAAAUUCAUGAAGCAUUCCACAUUUUU
This 103-nucleotide small nuclear RNA is filed under the name Dasypus novemcinctus (nine-banded armadillo). The record is from RNAcentral. Lineage: Eukaryota; Metazoa; Chordata; Mammalia; Cingulata; Dasypodidae.